This 767-nucleotide ribosomal RNA is filed under the name uncultured bacterium. RNAcentral's name for it is "bacterial SSU rRNA". It matches the Rfam family "Bacterial small subunit ribosomal RNA", at positions 28 to 823 of the family's 1533-position model. The record is from RNAcentral.
GACGAACGCUGGCGGCGUGCCUAACACAUGCAAGUCAAGCUGUAGCAAUACAACUGGCGCACGGGUGAGUAACGCGUAGAUUAUCUGCCCCUAUCCCUGGCAUAACAUUGAGAAAUCGGUGAUAAUACCAGAUGAGGCACGAAAGUGUCAAAGCUUCGGCGGAUGGGGAUGAGUCUGCGUCUGAUUAGCUAGUUGGUGGAGUAAAAGCCCACCAAGGCGACGAUCAGUAGCUGGUCUGAGAGGACGAUCAGCCACACUGGAACUGAGACACGGUCCAGACUCCUACGGGAGGCAGCAGUGAGGAAUAUUGGUCAAUGGGGGAAACCCUGAACCAGCGACGCCGCGUGAAGGAUGAAGGGGCUUUGCCUCGUAAACUUCUGUCGGGAGGGAAGAAAAGCCGGGUUGCCCGGCUGGGACUGUACCUCUAAAGGAAGGGUCGGCUAACUACGUGUCAGCAGCCGCGGUAAUACGUAGGACCCAAGCGUUGUCCGGAUUUACUGGGUGUAAAGGGUGCGCAGGCGGAUUUGUGCGUCAGAGGUUAAAGACCCCGGCUUAACCGGGGAAGUGCCUUUGAUACGGCAGGUCUUGAGUGCGAGCGAGGAUGGUAGAAUUCCUGGUGUAGCGGUGAAAUGCGUAGAUAUCAGGAGGAAUACCCGUGGCGAAGGCGGCCAUCUGGCUCGAUACUGACGCUCAGGCACGAAAGCGUGGGGAGCAAACAGGAUUAGAUACCCUGGUAGUCCACGCCUUAAACGAUGUAUGCUUGGUGU